RNAcentral lists this ribosomal RNA (252 nucleotides) under uncultured bacterium. RNAcentral describes it as "partial 16S ribosomal RNA". It matches the Rfam family "Bacterial small subunit ribosomal RNA", at positions 525 to 776 of the family's 1533-position model. The record is from RNAcentral.
ACGAAGGGUGCAAGCGUUAAUCGGAAUUACUGGGCGUAAAGCGCGCGUAGGUGGUUCAGUAAGUUGGAAGUGAAAUCCCCGGGCUCAACCUGGGAACUGCUUUCAAAACUGCUGAGCUAGAGUACGGUAGAGGGUGGUGGAAUUUCCUGUGUAGCGGUGAAAUGCGUAGAUAUAGGAAGGAACACCAGUGGCGAAGGCGACCACCUGGACUGAUACUGACACUGAGGUGCGAAAGCGUGGGGAGCAAACAGG